UACGUAGGGUGCAAGCGUUGUCCGGAAUUAUUGGGCGUAAAGAGCUCGUAGGCGGCCUGUCGCGUCGGCUGUGAAAACCCGGGGCUCAACCCCGGGCCUGCAGUCGAUACGGGCAGGCUAGAGUUCGGCAGGGGAGACUGGAAUUCCUGGUGUAGCGGUGAAAUGCGCAGAUAUCAGGAGGAACACCGGUGGCGAAGGCGGGUCUCUGGGCCGAUACUGACACUGAGGAGCGAAAGCGUGGGGAGCGAACAGG
Molecule: ribosomal RNA, 253 nt
Filed under: uncultured bacterium
Lineage: Bacteria
Description: partial 16S ribosomal RNA
Rfam family: Bacterial small subunit ribosomal RNA
Source: RNAcentral